This 213-nucleotide ribosomal RNA is filed under the name Niallia circulans. Its description in RNAcentral is "Bacillus circulans partial 23S ribosomal RNA". It matches the Rfam family "Bacterial large subunit ribosomal RNA", at positions 506 to 721 of the family's 2925-position model. The record is from RNAcentral. Lineage: Bacteria; Bacillati; Bacillota; Bacilli; Caryophanales; Bacillaceae.
AGGGAAAGGUGAAAAGCACCCCGGAAGGGGAGUGAAAUAGAUCCUGAAACCGUGUGCCUACAAGUAGUUAGAGCCCAUUUAUGGGUGAUAGCGUGCCUUUUGUAGAAUGAACCGGCGAGUUACGAUUACAUGCGAGGUUAAGUUGAAGAGACGGAGCCGCAGCGAAAGCGAGUCUGAAUAGGGCGAAAUAGUAUGUGGUUGUAGACCCAAAAC